GACGAACGCUGGCGGCGUGCUUAACACAUGCAAGUCGAACGGAAAGGCCCUGCUUUUGUGGGGUGCUCGAGUGGCGAACGGGUGAGUAACACGUGAGUAACCUGCCCUUGACUUUGGGAUAACUUCAGGAAACUGGGGCUAAUACCGGAUAGGAGCUCCUGCUGCAUGGUGGGGGUUGGAAAGUUUCGGCGGUUGGGGAUGGACUCGCGGCUUAUCAGCUUGUUGGUGGGGUAGUGGCUUACCAAGGCUUUGACGGGUAGCCGGCCUGAGAGGGUGACCGGCCACAUUGGGACUGAGAUACGGCCCAGACUCCUACGGGAGGCAGCAGUGGGGAAUAUUGCACAAAGGGCGGAAGCCUGAUGCAGCAACGCCGCGUGCGGGAUGACGGCCUUCGGGUUGUAAACCGCUUUCGCCUGUGACGAAGCGUGAGUGACGGUAAUGGGUAAAGAAGCACCGGCUAACCACGU
Molecule: ribosomal RNA, 467 nt
Filed under: uncultured bacterium
Lineage: Bacteria
Description: partial 16S ribosomal RNA
Rfam family: Bacterial small subunit ribosomal RNA
Source: RNAcentral